AAAACAGUUAUAGCGCCAGAGCUAAGGAAAUCGGACGACACAUAAACCUUAGCUGACGAGGUGGAGGAGUAUCGAAAUAUUCGGCGGAUGCCUCCCGACUAAGCCAAGUCGCAAAAAGUCUCAUGCAAAUCGUGCAAGCAAUUGUGCGGACAAACAUGUUACGACGGCACAAA
This 173-nucleotide non-coding RNA is filed under the name Caryophanon tenue. RNAcentral describes it as "GlcN6P sequence". It matches the Rfam family "glmS glucosamine-6-phosphate activated ribozyme aptamer". Rfam says of the family: This entry contains a glucosamine-6-phosphate activated ribozyme that is found in the mRNA for GlmS. GlmS is an enzyme that uses fructose-6-phosphate and glutamine to generate glucosamine-6-phosphate. The ribozyme catalyses self cleavage of the glmS mRNA that is thought to regulate GlmS activity. Lineage: Bacteria; Bacillati; Bacillota; Bacilli; Caryophanales; Caryophanaceae. The record is from Rfam by way of RNAcentral.